Molecule: ribosomal RNA, 253 nt
Filed under: uncultured bacterium
Lineage: Bacteria
Description: partial 16S ribosomal RNA
Rfam family: Bacterial small subunit ribosomal RNA
Source: RNAcentral
UACGUAGGGGGCAAGCGUUGUCCGGAAUCAUUGGGCGUAAAGAGCGUGUAGGCGGCUUGGUAAGUCCGCUGUGAAAGUCCAGGGCUCAACCCUGGAAUGCCGGUGGAAACUGUCAAGCUUGAGUCCGGAAGAGGCGAGUGGAAUUCCUGGUGUAGCGGUGAAAUGCGCAGAUAUCAGGAGGAACACCAAUGGCGAAGGCAGCUCGCUGGGACGGUACUGACGCUGAGGCACGAAAGCUAGGGGAGCAAACAGG